This 2102-nucleotide long non-coding RNA is filed under the name Homo sapiens (human). Its description in RNAcentral is "HSALNT0231656". Lineage: Eukaryota; Metazoa; Chordata; Mammalia; Primates; Hominidae. The record is from RNAcentral.
CCCGGAAGCCCCGCCUGGGACAGCAGUGGCCACAGAUGAACGCUUUUGCUUCCUAGAUGAGCAAAUUGAGGCACCGCCCCAUGGUCUAAACCAAUCCUGCUGAUUCCAGUAAACCAUGAAAACAAAGUCUGGAGAGGGGCCUGCCCAAGAGGGUGGUGGGCACUCAGAGGGACCUGCACUCCUUCCUCAUUGAGAUGCCAAGCCCACAGCACAGCUGUUAAGGAUUGGACAAAGCAGCCCGUGUGGACCCUGCCCAGGAGCUUCCUGUCUGGAGAGAGCCGAACUGGGCACAGCCCAGGGUGGAAGGUGGCCACAGGAAGCCGUCCAGGUGGGAGGAGCGCCUCGUGCCUUCGCUGUGUCUGCCGAGCCCAGCGUCCUCACACAGCCCUGCUGCCACCCAGCCAUGCUGGCCCACACGUCCCUUAGACAGCCGGCCACCUCCCGUCCCACCCCUGCUGCUUGUUUUGUGCCCUCACAGGUUUGCACUCCAUGGGGCCACUGCACUGGUGACCAUCUGUCAUCCAUGAUACCUGAAUUCAAACUGGAUUCCUCUGAAGGCCCUGGAGAACUUGUUUCUCAGGUUCCAACUGCCCUUCGCUGGGGCAUCUAGUGCUUGCACUCCACAGCAGUGAGACUGGCCACUCCCAAGUCAGGCCCCAGUGGGACACUGGGCAAGAAAGAGCCGUAGGGUUGGGCCUGUCUCUGAGGGUAGCCCUGGCCUGAGGGGGCCUACUGGACUCCAUCGUUGUGGCUGGGAGAGGUCAGGAGUGGCUGCCAGAGUGGGCUACAGCCUGGCUCUGCCCAAGGGCCACCUGGGGCUGGCCUUUCAGGGCUUGUCCUGUGCCCUCCUGCCCUCACUCCAUCCUGCAGAGGGCACCUUCUCCGUGGCCAGUUCCCCCUCCCCUAGUUUCCAUCCUCUGAAUAAUACCAAUGGCAGCCACAGCCAGCACUUCAGUAGACCUGGCACCAAGCAGCUGUCCUUCCAGUCACCCUUGGGGUGGGCAUGAUUACCCAUUGUGUUGACCAGAUUAGAAUGAGGCACAGAUGACUGAGCAACUUGCUGAGCUGCAGGUGGUCUGGCUCCAGAGGCUACCUGGGCUCUCUGCCCUAUUGGGACUUUGCUGGAGAGCCUCGAGUGCAGGGCACAGUUCCUGGCCCCACCUCCUGCUCUGCACCUUGGGAAGGGCAAGAACCUUGCAAAUUCACAUUAGCACGGACCAUCAGUGAGGACACGGUUUGUGCUCAGAACAAGCUGACAGCCCUUCUUCACACACUGCUCCCAGCUGUGGGGAAGGGUGGGGAGACCAGCAUCGACCUAUGCUGGAUGUAGGCACCCUGUGGCUGAGCUUGGGGACCCGUGUGGCCCUGAGACUGAGCCCAUGCCCAAAGCCUUACUCCAGGGCUGUCAGAACAUGGGUUCCUGGCCGAGCCAACCUGUGCCCUGACCUGGCGGAUGACAGGACACCUCCUCCUCCAUGGCAGGGUGCUGGCCCUGUGCACUCUGUAGUCUGCAAAGGCAACUCCUACCCCAGGGACCCCUAGAAGCUUCCCAGCCCCUAGAGGGACCAGGGCUGGGCUCUGGCAUCCCAUCAGUGCUGCUUUUAGGCAUUAGCAGUAGCCCAGAGUUGGCCCAUUCCACGGAAGCCACCAUCCCUCAUCCAUCCAUUUGGAAAGAGCGUCAUUGAGCCGGGUGGGGGGGAAGGUCUGUGACACAUUCCCCUGAGAGCAAGAAGAAAGCCCCAGAGAAGGCAGAAGAAAGGGAGGCAGUGAUACAGGAGGCUUGCAGAUAGCUGGAGUGGUUGGAUUUGGGGCAAAGACCAGGGACGAAGGAAGAAGGGGAGAGAGGAGGCGCAAUGGGGCUGGGGUUGGGGAGGGAGGGCAGGCACGAUGUGGGAUGGGUGGAGUGGUCUGGCUGGGCGGCUGCACAGAGAUGAAGCAUGUUCCGGGCACCAAAGCAGGGAGCAGGGAAAGCAGGUGGGGCCAAGAGGCAGUCCAGGCCCUGUUCACAGGCCACGUGUCCACUUUUCGGUUUCAUGCAAAGGUGCUGUGGGGCUCUGGGCAGGGGUGAGGGGAGGCCACUGCUGAGAUUACAGGAGGCUGUC